AGUGAACGCUAGCGGCGUGGUUCAGACAUGCAAGUCGAACGCUCUCGCAAGGGAGAGUGGCGAACGGGUGAGUAACACGUGAACAAUUUACCUUCAAAUUGGGGAUAGCCUUCCGAAAGGAGGGGUAAUACCGAAUGUGGCGCUCUAUCGCAUGAUAGGGGAGCUAAAGGCGGGGACCGCAAGGCCUGCCGUUUGAAGAUGAGUUCGCGGCCUAUCAGCUAGUUGGCGGGGUAACGGCCCACCAAGGCGAAGACGGGUAGCUGUUCUGAGAGGAUGAUCAGCCACACUGGAACUGAGAUACGGUCCAGACACCUACGGGUGGCAGCAGUUUCGAAUUAUUUGCAAUGGGGGGCAACCCUGACAGUGCAACGCCGCGUGAGGGAUGAAGGUCUUCGGAUCGUAAACCUCUGUCACCGGACAUUAAUGUGCGUUAGUUAAUAGCUGACGUAUUGAAAAUCCGGAGAGGAAGCAGUGGCUAACUCCGUGCCAGCAGCCGCGGUAAU
Molecule: ribosomal RNA, 503 nt
Filed under: uncultured bacterium
Lineage: Bacteria
Description: bacterial SSU rRNA
Rfam family: Bacterial small subunit ribosomal RNA
Source: RNAcentral